RNAcentral lists this long non-coding RNA (926 nucleotides) under Homo sapiens (human). RNAcentral describes it as "SAT1 divergent transcript, transcript variant 6 (SAT1-DT)". The record is from RNAcentral. Lineage: Eukaryota; Metazoa; Chordata; Mammalia; Primates; Hominidae.
GGGAUUCGCUAGCGGCGCCCUCUAGUGGCGUUUCGCGGAGCCUUGGCGGAAACCCUACUGGGAGCCGGUGUGUCCCCCAGUAACAUUUGCAAAUGAAAGAAGGGAUGGGAUCUUGCUAAGUUGCCUAGGCUAGCCUCGAACUCCUGGCUUCAAGCACUCCUCCUGCCUCAGCCUCCCAAAGUGCUGGGAUGACAGGUGUGAGCUGCCAUGCCUGGCCGUUACAACUGUCUUGUGAAGCACUCAUGAAAGGUGGCCGGGUACCACUGUAUCAAUGGCCCAGUUGCCCAUCUCCUGGCGAGAGAUUUCCCUAAGUGACCUGGAAGUGUCACUAUUACCACCGCCCCACAUGAAUCUUGUGCUGGAGGCGACUAGAGCUGUGUGUCCCUCAGCAGAAGCAGGUGGCAUAAGCAAGAGUUCCAUUUUGGUUUCAUUUUCAGAGGACCCCAAUUGCGCAGUCUGCAAGAAAUAAUGUGCCUCUCAGGAUGGUUCCAAGCUGAGCCCAAAUCACUGAGGGAGAUUCACUGCUUGCUAACAUGAACUUUAUUCCUGGAUAAACAAGUCCCAAACCGUCUUGUCCAUAUGCCACCACGGUCAGGUCAAAACACACAUUAUCAGCUGGGUGCGGUGGCUCACGCUUGUAAUCCCAGCACUUCGGGAGGCCGAGGUGGGCGGAUCACUUGAGGUCAGGAGUUGGAGAUCAGCCUGGCCAACAUGGUGAAACCCCGUCUCUACUAAAAAUACAAAAAUUAGCCGGGCGUGGUGGUACGUGUCUGUAGUCCCAGGUACUCAGAAGGCUGAAGACAUGAGAAUCGCUUGAACCCAGGGGGCGGAGGUUGCUGAGCUGAGAUCAUGCCACUGCACUCGAGCCUGGACAACAGAGUGAGAUCCUAUGCCAAAAACAAACAAUAAAAACCAACAACAAAAAA